CCCUUAGAUGUCCUGGGCCGCACGCGCGUUACACUGAUGCAUUCAACGAGCUUAUAACCUUGGCCGAGAGGCCUGGGCAAUCUUGUUAACGUGCAUCGUGAUAGGGAUAGAUUAUUGAAAUUAUUAAUCUUGAACGAGGAAUUCCUAGUAAACGCAGAUCAUCAAUCUGCAUUGAUUACGUCCCUGCCCUUUGUACACACCGCCCGUCGCACCUACCGAUUGGAUGGUCCGGUGAAGCCUCGGGAUUGUGGUUCUUGCCGCUUUAUUGUGGCGUGUCCGCGAGAACUUGUCUAAACCUUAUCAUCUAGAGGAAGGUGAAGUCGUAACA
RNAcentral lists this ribosomal RNA (328 nucleotides) under uncultured eukaryote. Its description in RNAcentral is "partial 18S ribosomal RNA". It matches the Rfam family "Eukaryotic small subunit ribosomal RNA", at positions 1470 to 1796 of the family's 1831-position model. The record is from RNAcentral.